UACGUAGGGUGCGAGCGUUAAUCGGAAUUACUGGGCGUAAAGCGUGCGCAGGCGGUUCGCUGUGUCCGAUGUGAAAGCCCCGGGCUUAACCUGUGAAUGGCAUUGGAAACUGGCGGGCUAGAGUGUGGCAGAGGGGGGUGGAAUUCCGCGUGUAGCAGUGAAAUGCGUAGAUAUGCGGAGGAACACCGAUGGCGAAGGCAAUCCCCUGGACCUGUACUGACGCUCAUGCACGAAAGCGUGGGGAGCAAACAGG
Molecule: ribosomal RNA, 253 nt
Filed under: uncultured bacterium
Lineage: Bacteria
Description: partial 16S ribosomal RNA
Rfam family: Bacterial small subunit ribosomal RNA
Source: RNAcentral